Molecule: ribosomal RNA, 501 nt
Filed under: uncultured bacterium
Lineage: Bacteria
Description: partial 16S ribosomal RNA
Rfam family: Bacterial small subunit ribosomal RNA
Source: RNAcentral
AUUGAACGCUGGCGGCAGGCCUAACACAUGCAAGUCGAGCGGGGGAAGGUAGCUUGCUACCGGACCGAGCGGCGGACGGGUGAGUAAUGCUUAGGAAUCUGCCUAUUAGUGGGGGACAACAUCUCGAAAGGGAUGCUAAUACCGCAUACGUCCCACGGGAGAAAGCAGGGGAUCUUCGGACCUUGCGCUAAUAGAUGAGCCUAAGUCGGAUUAGCUAGUUGGUGGGGUAAAGGCCUGCCAAGGCGACGAUCUGUAGCGGGUCUGAGAGGAUGAUCCGCCACACUGGGACUGAGACACGGCCCAGACUCCUACGGGAGGCAGCAGUGGGGAAUAUUGGACAAUGGGGGGAACCCUGAUCCAGCCAUGCCGCGUGUGUGAAGAAGGCCUUAUGGUUGUAAAGCACUUUAAGCGAGGAGGAGGCUACUCUAGUUAAUACCUAGGGAUAGUGGACGUUACUCGCAGAAUAAGCACCGGCUAACUCUGUGCCAGCAGCCGCGGUAA